AAAUAUAUUUAAAAUAUUAAACACUAGCUCUUUUUAACAUGUCUAAAAGCAUUGCCUCAAUAUCAUUGAGAGUCUUGUGAUGGAGGAGUAGUUACUAAUUUUAUACUCUAUCCGUCCUAUAAAGGUGUAUAACAUAUGGGAUUACUUGAAAAUUUUAAGAAAAAUAUUGAAGGAUAAUGUGUUGAGUGGAAAUUAGUAGUUGUGGUUGAGUUGAUUAUGUGGUUAUGUAGAAAUGUGUGAUUGUGAUUAAAAAAAAGUAAGUUCAUUUCCCAAAAUAAAAAUGAUACUAUGAGACGAACGAAAGUAAAAAAUGUGAUACACUUUUACAGAACGAAAGGAGUAUAUAUUUAGAAUCCGUUUGAUAGACUAGAUAAACCCACGAUAGAAGAGCUAUUUGGGUUUAGCCAAUUAUUUGGUGUCCUAU
Molecule: long non-coding RNA, 424 nt
Filed under: Salvia miltiorrhiza (redroot sage)
Lineage: Eukaryota; Viridiplantae; Streptophyta; Magnoliopsida; Lamiales; Lamiaceae
Description: long non-coding RNA (SMIL_LNC012199)
Source: RNAcentral